GUCUACGACCAUACCACGUUGAAAGCACGACAUCUCGUCSGRUCUGUCAAGUUAAGCAACGUUGGGCCUGGUUAGUACUUGGAUCGGAGACGGCCUGGGAAUCCCAGGUGUUGUAGACAUAU
Molecule: ribosomal RNA, 122 nt
Filed under: Brugia malayi
Lineage: Eukaryota; Metazoa; Nematoda; Chromadorea; Rhabditida; Onchocercidae
Source: RNAcentral